This is a long non-coding RNA of Photinus pyralis (common eastern firefly), 720 nucleotides long. RefSeq lists it as uncharacterized. The transcript has 3 exons. The record is from RefSeq and is a predicted model, not a curated record. NCBI's taxonomy places the organism in Eukaryota, Metazoa, Arthropoda, Insecta, Coleoptera, Lampyridae.
ACCUUGUAAUCGUAUGUUUACGUUUUACAAGAUUGAAAAGUUAACAACCAUGAAGUUGUAACACAGUGUAGCCAACCCACAAAUGUGAAUAAUGUGUGCGCGUGCGUAAGUACAAUUAAUCAGCUGUUUGGUAUAAAUACCAGUUGAUUUAAGACGUGGUGUUACGUGUAGUUGACAAUGUUUUUAAAAAAAGCAAGGACAUCGAAAUCACAAUAUACUAUUUAUGUAGAGUACUUAGAAAAAAAUUGUUUGUUAAGAACUGGAAAACUUUCUCCUAACUUGGGCCCAGAGGAUCUUCAUUCUUUGUGGCUGCAACUAGCAAAGGAGCUAAAUGCAUGUGGAGAUGGACCCACUAGAGAAGUUGAAGGAUGGAAGAAGCUGUUCACUGAGUGGAAAUCGCAAACUCGCAAGAAAGCACGGGAGAAUAAAGCACUAAAUGCUCUCGAAAUAAGGUUAUUAAAGGGCAACCGGCACAGUGGUAGUGCAUGGGAUUUCUACAGUACCUGAAAUAGGGGUAAAUGAAGUGCAAGAAGCGAUUCAUGCAGUUGAAAACGUAGAAAUACAAUAUGUUGACGAAGUAAUACAAGAUGUAGAUGGAGCGGUAGCCUCACUGGAUGUUCCCAUAGAACAGAUACUCCCUACCCAUAAGGACGCCUAUAUAAACGUUGUUCAUUGCUUCAAAUUGAAUAAUUUUAAUGAUUCAAAAUAAAUUAAUACAAC